RNAcentral lists this long non-coding RNA (1219 nucleotides) under Felis catus (domestic cat). RNAcentral's name for it is "lncRNA (ENSFCAG00000052235.1)". The record is from RNAcentral. Lineage: Eukaryota; Metazoa; Chordata; Mammalia; Carnivora; Felidae.
GUCUGGACAACUACAGAGUGCUGAGGUCCCUUGGUGUGAAAAGCAUCACUCCUUUACUUCCAGGAUCAUAGGAAGGACCAGGAGGCCUCCAGGGAGUAGCUGAGGUGGCCUGGAGGUACCCUUGGGGGACUUUGGGUCAGGAGCAGGCAGUGGCUAUUUAUAAUCUCGUAGAAAAUUAUAUGAAUAUUUUAGUCCUCAGUCUGGACUUGCUUGUGUGUCAGUGAAGUAUGGGCUCUGCUCCUCUGCAAUGUGGCUGUGGAGUGCAGCAAUGAGACAUGGAAAGGGGAGGGAAGUGGUGGGUUAUUGUUGCUUUCCAAUGAAAUCCUCCUUGUUGACCACCUUCUAAAUACCUACUCCAGUCCCACAUUGCUUCUUACCUGCCACCCUCCUUCCUUACAGCAACCAACCUUCACUGAGUGCAGACUAUGUGUCCAGAGACUGUGCAAGACUUUGGAUCCUAGAGAGAUUAACAUGUGCCCUUUUUCCUUCAGGGAAGUCAAGCCCGCGGGACUACUGGUAUGUGAGCGGCGUGGGACAGGAUUGUCUGCUGCUCCUUCUAAAGCUGUAUCUAUGCCCUGGAGUCCCCAUGAAAGAAGGAGCUACUUUCCAGAGCAAGAGUUGGCAGGGCAGUGCGGUCCUGCACGUGGCCAGGAGGACACAGAAGCCAUGGGGAGCGGCAAGGAUGACCAGCCCGGCACCCCAGGCCCUCGAAUUACCAGGUGUGCUGAAACAUGAGAACACUCAUGUCUUCUCUGGAGUGUGGCCCUCCUCAAAGCUUCUAUGCAGACACUGAGAAUGACCUGGGAGGAACUGGGGCCGGGUCCCGAGGAAGAGGACUGUGCAACAGGUUUCUGGACAGUGUGUGGGGCUGAAGUGUGCAAAGGACGGUGGUGAAUGGUGUUUGGCCUUUGCUUCCAACUAUACUUGAAAAUCUGGCCCCCCAGCUCUGGGAGGAAAGGUGUAACCUCAGAACCAUCUCGGGUCUGUCAUUGAUUUGUAUAUAAAAUGGUAAGCCCCUUACGUCUCCUGCUUUAACAUUUCCUGCCUCCUCUAUCCCUUGUAUUUCUCCAGAGCCCUUAUUACUAGCUAAAAUCCUGUCUCUCCCCAGAAAGUGAGCUCCACGAGUCAGACAUUUUAUCUCUUCUACUCUGCUCAUCUCUCAUCUCAGAGACCAUCUGGGAAGCAGUUGGUCCUCAAUAAAUAUUGGUAUGAAGUGACA